CUACGGAGGUUGCAAGCGUUAAUCGGAAUUACUGGGCGUAAAGCGCGCGUAGGCGGCUUGAUAAGUCGGAUGUGAAAUCCCCGGGCUUAACCUGGGAAUUGCAUUCGAUACUGUCAGGCUAGAGUGUGGUAGAGGGAAGUGGAAUUUCCGGUGUAGCGGUGAAAUGCGUAGAUAUCGGAAAGAACAUCAGUGGCGAAGGCGGCUUCCUGGAUCAACACUGACGCUGAGGUGCGAAAGCGUGGGGAGCAAACAGGAUUAGAAACCCUAGUAGUCC
This 274-nucleotide ribosomal RNA is filed under the name uncultured bacterium. RNAcentral describes it as "partial 16S ribosomal RNA". It matches the Rfam family "Bacterial small subunit ribosomal RNA", at positions 523 to 796 of the family's 1533-position model. The record is from RNAcentral.